Labrus bergylta (ballan wrasse) is the source of this 432-nucleotide long non-coding RNA. RefSeq lists it as uncharacterized. NCBI's taxonomy places the organism in Eukaryota, Metazoa, Chordata, Actinopteri, Labriformes, Labridae. The record is from RefSeq and is a predicted model, not a curated record.
CUCUUAUAAAUACACGUCGCCAAGUUGUGACGUCCUCUGUGGAGACGGUUCCUCUUUAGUUGCCUCCUCUUCUCAACAUGAGGGCUAAGUGGAGGAAGAAGCGCAUGCGCAGGCUGAAGCGUAAAAGGAGAAAGAUGAGGCAGAGGUCCAAGUAAACUGUCCUCUCCGCCAUGGCUGUGACAGCACAUGUUGCCAACAACCAGACCGGUGAGCUCAACUGGAGACCCAGGACCAUGCCGGCGUCAAGUCUGACGCCAGCGGCACCCAUAUCAACGUGAGGCCGCAGAUUGAUGCUGGAGAGCGGAUUCAAGACCUGCUGGAUGACGGGCUUUUCUCUGGGACCCUCGGGACUCUUUGUUCUUAAUUCCUCAACUUUUGUCAUUUGUUCUUGUUUAUAAUUUGAUUAAAGUUUUUGGUUUAGAAAAUGGCAAA